UUCUCCCUUGCCAUGCUUCUGGGAAUCUCCUCCAAAAUAAACAAGGAAGUUCCUGUCUCAGCGUCUUCUUUGGGGGAAUCUGAAUUUAGACAGUAGCACCAGAAGAGGGAAGCAGAAACGGAGGAUCUACUUUGGGUGCUGAGAAGCAGCGGAGACCUGCUCAGGGAAAACCAGGUGAGGUUCUGUUGAGACAUUGCAGUCUCCCCAGGCCGACUGCACAGCUGACUUAAUACAAGACAGCUGGAUUCUCACGUCAGCUUCUUCAUUCAAUACGCUGCUUUGGCUGAAGGACAUAAAGACCUGGCCUCACACAGUCAUGCAGUUGGAAAAGGAACUUCAGGAGCCUCUCAGUUAAAGCCUAGACAGCCCUUGAAUUUGUAUUAGGACUGGCGGUUCCCUCCAUGGCGAAGGCAUUUUAAAUAAACUGCUAAGGGUGGUGGUGGGGAAGGAAACUCGAAUUCUCCUGUUGACUUAAUUUUAAAUGACAUGGAUUGCCAACUUGAGCUCAUAGAUUACUCUUUUGCCAGCCAAGAUUACAUAUUAGAUUUUUUCAUGUUUACUUUUCUAAAUUAAGAAGAGAAAGCAACAUGUCAUACACAAAGUUAACAUUUGUACAGUGGUUUUACAGUUUGCAAAGCCUCUUUCUGUGACCACGUGACGCCAUUUAGUCCUUAGCAGCCACUUUAGAGAGGAGGAAGGCUCAGAGCAGAGUGACUUGCCCCAGACUGCCACCAGUAACCAGGCUGUGGACCCGGCUUCCUCAGGACCAAGCGAUGUGCUCGCAGGACGGCUCUGCUAUGGUUCUAAUGAACAAACACCUCACUUUCCAACCUAGGAUGCGGGGACCCUUUAUUUAUGUUCACUUUUUUCACGUACACAAGAGACAGCAUCUGUACUGGAAUCCAACGGGACUUUUAUUUGACACAGAAUACAAUACGGAUGCAGGAAGAGCAAACUGAAAAGACAAAGCAGAAAAGACACGGUUCUAUCUAAUUUAUAAUUAAGUAACAGGAGGGCAAGUCGUUAAAUGAAUAACGAAACAGUUGAGCUUGAUGGAAGAAUUUCUUGUUCUAGUGCCCAUACCUAAAAGACAAAGUAAACUAAUGAACUUAGUAUUUCCUGUUUGAGACUAUAAAACCUGCUUAAAUAUAUCAGCAAAUUUGGUUAAGACUUUGAAAAGUGACCACAGGUGUGUUCCAAGCCUGGGCUGGUUUCAUCACACUGACCUUUCUAACAUCUUACCGACCACUCACUUCCCAGUGAUGGGUCCCCCCCAACAAUGCCCUGGGACCCAACUGUACCCCAGGACUCUCCCUCCAGUUACCAGACAGAUGCGGGGCAGCAACAGGGAGCCGAGAGGCACAAGUCAGAGCUGCUGGUUGUGAAAGGGAGCUCCACCUGUUGGCCCCAGUCAGUGGCUCAGACAGCUUGAGCUCUCAGCCUCCCCCACCAGCGGAGCGGCCCAUUUUCACCUCGGCUCCAGUACUCAGGCAAGUUGAGGGUAAGGCAAAUACAGAAAAUAGUAAUGGACCAGCCUUCAAUUUAAAAAUCCACCACCAGUUCCAAUCAUAGCCCUGCUUACAUUCAGUGCUGAACUGUGGAACAACUUCGUACAGAUUUCAGGUCCAGGUUUCUGAUUUCCCCACAUGCCAAAAUUUGGCUCUAACAAGAUUGUAAACAAGGCCAGGAACUUUCUUCUACAUAUAAAUAAAUGGAUUUCUUGAAUACAAACCCUUCAUUAUUA
Molecule: long non-coding RNA, 1744 nt
Organism: Camelus dromedarius (Arabian camel)
Lineage: Eukaryota; Metazoa; Chordata; Mammalia; Artiodactyla; Camelidae
Exons: 2
Source: RefSeq, a predicted model, not a curated record